GGCCCUAUGGUGUAAUGGUUAGCAAUCUGGACUCUGAAUCCAGCGAUCCGAGUUCAAAUCUCGGUAGGACCU
This 72-nucleotide transfer RNA is filed under the name Saccoglossus kowalevskii. RNAcentral's name for it is "tRNA-Gln". It matches the Rfam family "tRNA". From Rfam's summary of the family: Transfer RNA (tRNA) molecules are approximately 80 nucleotides in length. Lineage: Eukaryota; Metazoa; Hemichordata; Enteropneusta; Harrimaniidae. The record is from RNAcentral.